AGAGUUUGAUCCUGGCUCAGGACGAACGCUGGCGGCGUGCUUAACACAUGCAAGUCGAACGAGGUCCAACCCGUCGCAAGACGGGGGAAGACCUAGUGGCGAACGGGUGAGUAACACGUGAGGAACGUGCCCCGGAGACCGGGAUAACAGCGGGAAACCGCUGCUAAUACCGGAUACCUUCUUUUGAUCGCAUGGUCAGCUGAAGAAAUGGAUUCCGCUCCGGGAGCGCCUCGCGGUCUAUCAGCUUGUUGGUGGGGUAACGGCCUACCAAGGCGACGACGGAUAGCUGGUCUGAGAGGACGAUCAGCCACACUGGGACUGAGACACGGCCCAGACUCCUACGGGAGGCAGCAGUGGGGAAUCUUGCCCAAUGGGCGAAAGCCUGAGGCAGCAACGCCGCGUGUGGGAUGAAGGCCCUUGGGUUGUAAACCACUUUCAGCAGGGACGAAAAUGACGGUACCUGCAGAAGAAGCCCCGGCCAACUACGUGCCAGCAGCCGCGGUAAGACGUAGGGGGCGAGCGUUGUCCGGAUUUAUUGGGCGUAAAGGGUUCCUAGGCGGCUGGCCUAGUCGGGUGUGAAACCUCCAGGCUCAACCUGGAGACGCCACUCGAUACUGGUCUGGCUAGAGUCCGGUAGGGGCGAACGGAAUAUCCGGUGUAGCGGUGAAAUGCUUAGAUAUCGGGUGGAACACCAGUGGCGAAGGCGGUUCGCUGGGCCGGAACUGACGCUGAAGAACGAAAGCGUGGGUAGCAAACAGGAUUAGAUACCCCAGUAGUCC
This 779-nucleotide ribosomal RNA is filed under the name uncultured Acidimicrobiales bacterium. RNAcentral describes it as "bacterial SSU rRNA". It matches the Rfam family "Bacterial small subunit ribosomal RNA", at positions 8 to 796 of the family's 1533-position model. The record is from RNAcentral. Lineage: Bacteria; Bacillati; Actinomycetota; Acidimicrobiia; Acidimicrobiales.